GUGUUCAAGCGAGAACUCGAUAGACACCUCCAAAGGAUACCUGAUCCAUCAGGCUGCGAGCAGCCGCGUCCAACAGUCUAAUUGACCAGUCCAUCAACAAGAAAGCCUGAGCAAUAACCGGGCCGCGGGGAAACUAAACCCCGAAACCAACACAAGGUAAGGUAAGCUAAUUUACGAACAGCGACAAUUAACGCGGCCAGCUCACAGGCACCAGUCUAAACAUGGCUCCUGCCCGCCCUGCUGUCCACCUCCCACCUCGCUUACUAUUUCCGCCACGCCAUCUUUGACAUUCGUGUCGCCUACACUCCCUUUCAACGCCUCCUGCAUGAAGAUGACAGCAAGUCAUGCCAAUGUCUCAGAGGCGGUUUCUGUGGGAGACAGACACAAGGCUCGCUCUCCGGCUGGUUCGUUCAGUUACAGCUCUGUGGUUCAGCCUGAAUGGCCUGUGUUCUUACAAUAGGUCCUCUUGGUGGCUCCCCCUAAGCUAGCUGCCUGGUUAGCUCCAAGACUCACUGCAGACCAGAAGCAGAAACUGGUUCACUCAGAGACAAAGGCAGUCUGGGAUACAAGAUCAAUCCAAACCAAAAGGAAAAGCCUCCAAAACAAGCAAUUAUAUACAAAAACAUUGGCAGCCCUAUUAACUAAAUGCUAUUAUUAGCUAACCAGUUACUCUUCCACCAGCAAAUGGCAACCCAGGGCUCCAGCCAGGCAGCUAUUGUAUUUCAAUUCAAUCAUGCACCUGGAGUAGUUUUCACAAAAGCUCAUGCUCCUCCUUGGCUUAUAUUUCAUUUAAGUGUUGGCCUGUUUGUGUUCCCCAGAUACUGUUGAAAAUAGUCAACAUCACCAGUGGAUAUCCACCCGACAGCGUCGGUGCAGAACUCCUCUACUCGAGCGAGGAAGCUCUGGAACAACUGUUUGCUCCAGAACGCUCUACGAAAUGCAGGCCUAAUCAUCACGCCUACCCAGCACUACCUGGCUGUUAGAACCAUUUUUGUCAGCCGCACCAGCAUCUACAUCGCCUCCCAGGACCAUGACACUAUACUGAAAAGCAUUAACAUCAGGAACCUAGCUCUGACUGCUGUCAAAGUUGAGUCAUCAAGAACGAUGACAACCCGCCAAACACACACCAAAACUACGACGUUGGUACAACGUUUGAACAAGUUUUAACACCUAACCAGUUAUGACAACCAAUAUAGCAAGUUGUAACAACGUUC
Long non-coding RNA from Procambarus clarkii (red swamp crayfish), 1214 nucleotides. RefSeq lists it as uncharacterized. The record is from RefSeq and is a predicted model, not a curated record. NCBI's taxonomy places the organism in Eukaryota, Metazoa, Arthropoda, Malacostraca, Decapoda, Cambaridae.